Non-coding RNA from Caenorhabditis japonica, 1030 nucleotides. Lineage: Eukaryota; Metazoa; Nematoda; Chromadorea; Rhabditida; Rhabditidae. The record is from Rfam.
GAACAGACCAAACGUUUUCGGACGUUGUUUGUUGACUCUGAAUACCGUCGUUUACUGUCAGUUUCGACUGACUCUAUCCGAGAAGGGUGUCUGCCCUUUCAACUAGAUGGUAAUCUAUUGGACUACCAUGGUUGUUACGGGUAACGGAGAAUUAGGGUUCGACUCCGGAGAGGGAGCCUUAGAAACGGCUACCACGUCCAAGGAAGGCAGCAGGCGCGAAACUUAUCCACUGUUGAGUAUGAGAUAGUGACUAAAAAUAUAAAGACUCAUCCUUUUGGAUGAGUUAUUUCAAUGAGUUGAAUAUAAAUUAUUCUUCGAGUAGCAAGGAGAGGGCAAGUCUGGUGCCAGCAGCCGCGGUAAUUCCAGCUCUCCUAGUGUAUCUCGUUAUUGCUGCGGUUAAAAAGCUCGUAGUUGGAUCUAGGUUACGUGCCGCAGUUCGCAAUUUGCGUUAACUGUGGUCGUGACUUCUAAUUUGCUGGUUUGAGGUUGGGUUCGCCCUUCAACUGCCAGCAGGUUUACCUUGAAUAAAUCAGAGUGCUCAAUACAGGCGCUUGCUUGAAUAGCUCAUCAUGGAAUAAUGAAACAGGACUUCGGUUCUUUUUGUUGGUUCUAGAAUUGAUCUAAUGGUUAAGAGGGACAAACCGGGGGCAUUCGUAUCAUUACGCGAGAGGUGAAAUUCGUGGACCGUAGUGAGACGCCCAAUAGCGAAAGCAUUUGCCAAGAAUGUCUUCAUUAAUCAAGAACGAAAGUCAGAGGUUCGAAGGCGAUUAGAUACCGCCCUAGUUCUGACCGUAAACGAUGCCAUCUCGCGAUUCGGAGGGUUCAUGCCCUACCGAGGAGCUACCCGGAAACGAAAGUCUUUCGGUUCCGGGGGUAGUAUGGUUGCAAAGCUGAAAACUUAAAGAAAUUGACGGAAGGGCACCACAAGGCGUGGAGCUUGCGGCUUAAUUUGACUCAACACGGGAAAACUCACCCGGGUCCGGACACUAUUAGGACUGACAGAUUGAAAGCUCUUUCUCGAUUUGGUGGU